ACCGAACGCUGGCGGCAGGCUUAACACAUGCAAGUCGAGCGGGGGAAGGUAGCUUGCUACUGGACCUAGCGGCGGACGGGUGAGUAAUGCUUAGGAAUCUGCCUAUUAGUGGGGGACAACAUCUCGAAAGGGAUGCUAAUACCGCAUACGUCCUACGGGAGAAAGCAGGGGAUCUUCGGACCUUGCGCUAAUAGAUGAGCCUAAGUCGGAUUAGCUAGUUGGUGGGGUAAAGGCCUACCAAGGCGACGAUCUGUAGCGGGUCUGAGAGGAUGAUCCGCCACACUGGGACUGAGACACGGCCCAGACUCCUAUGGGAGGCAGCAGUGGGGAAUAUUGGACAAUGGGGGGAACCCUGAUCCAGCCAUGCCGCGUGUGUGAAGAAGGCCUUAUGGUUGUAAAGCACUUUAAGCGAGGAGGAGGCUACUUUAGUUAAUACCUAGAGAUAGUGGACGUUACUCGCAGAAUAAGCACCGGCUAACUCUGUGCCAGCCGCCGCCGUAA
Molecule: ribosomal RNA, 501 nt
Filed under: uncultured bacterium
Lineage: Bacteria
Description: partial 16S ribosomal RNA
Rfam family: Bacterial small subunit ribosomal RNA
Source: RNAcentral